AAAUAGAUACCCCGGUAGUCCACGCCGUAAACGAUGAGUGCUAAGUGUUAGGGGGUUUCCGCCCCUUAGUGCUGCAGCUAACGCAUUAAGCACUCCGCCUGAGGAGUACGGUCGCAAGACUGAAACUCAAAGGAAUUGACGGGGGCCCGCACAAGCGGUGGAGCAUGUGGUUUAAUUCGAAGCAACGCGAAGAACCUUACCAGGUCUUGACAUCCCGUUGACCACUGUAGAGAUAUAGUUUCCCCUUCGGGGGCAACGGUGACAGGUGGUGCAUGGUUGUCGUCAGCUCGUGUCGUGAGAUGUUGGGUUAAGUCCCGCAACGAGCGCAACCCUUGAUCUUAGUUGCCAUCAUUUAGUUGGGCACUCUAAGGUGACUGCCGGUGACAAACCGGAGGAAGGUGGGGAUGACGUCAAAUCAUCAUGCCCCUUAUGACCUGGGCUACACACGUGCUACAAUGGACGAUACAAACGGUUGCCAACUCGCGAGAGGGAGCUAAUCCGAUAAAGUCGUUCUCAGUUCGGAUUGUAGG
Molecule: ribosomal RNA, 530 nt
Filed under: uncultured bacterium
Lineage: Bacteria
Description: bacterial SSU rRNA
Rfam family: Bacterial small subunit ribosomal RNA
Source: RNAcentral